This 751-nucleotide ribosomal RNA is filed under the name Gaetbulibacter sp. RNAcentral describes it as "bacterial SSU rRNA". It matches the Rfam family "Bacterial small subunit ribosomal RNA", at positions 88 to 842 of the family's 1533-position model. Lineage: Bacteria; Pseudomonadati; Bacteroidota; Flavobacteriia; Flavobacteriales; Flavobacteriaceae. The record is from RNAcentral.
CCGACGACCGGCGCACGGGUGCGUAACGCGUAUGCAAUCUACCUUAUACUGGAGGAUAGCCCAGAGAAAUUUGGAUUAACACUUCAUAGUAUGUUUACCUCGCAUGGGGAAAACAUUAAAGGUUACGGUAUAAGAUGAGCAUGCGUCCUAUUAGCUAGAUGGUGUGGUAACGGCACACCAUGGCAUCGAUAGGUAGGGGCCCUGAGAGGGGGAUCCCCCACACUGGUACUGAGACACGGACCAGACUCCUACGGGAGGCAGCAGUGAGGAAUAUUGGACAAUGGAGGCAACUCUGAUCCAGCCAUGCCGCGUGCAGGAAGACUGCCCUAUGGGUUGUAAACUGCUUUUAUACGGGAAGAAACGGCUCUACGUGUAGAGCUUUGACGGUACCGUAAGAAUAAGGAUCGGCUAACUCCGUGCCAGCAGCCGCGGUAAUACGGAGGAUCCAAGCGUUAUCCGGAAUCAUUGGGUUUAAAGGGUCCGUAGGUGGAUAAUUAAGUCAGAGGUGAAAGUCUGCGGCUCAACCGUAGAAUUGCCUUUGAAACUGGUUAUCUUGAAUUAUUAUGAAGUAGUUAGAAUAUGUAGUGUAGCGGUGAAAUGCAUAGAUAUUACAUAGAAUACCAAUUGCGAAGGCAGAUUACUAAUAAUAUAUUGACACUGAUGGACGAAAGCGUGGGGAGCGAACGGGAUUAGAUACCCCGGUAGUCCACGCCGUAAACGAUGGAUACUAGCUGUUCGGACUUCGGUCUGA